GGAGGAAAAUAUAAAGUUAAUUACGAAUAUGCCCCUUUCACUUCCGAGUUUAAAGACCUAGUCCUUGACGGUUGCGCCAUCGAUCCCAUCCAGAAAUUCCCCAACUCCACUGCCUGCUCCGAGACAGAUACCUGGCUCGAGAGCCGUGACUACGCCGUCAUAACACCGAAAAGCCGAUCCGCCAUGCGAAGAUUCAGGCAGCGUUACAUGUACUAUUCAUAUUGUUAUGACAAUGUGCGUUACCCUAUAACACCUCCCGAGUGCGCAGUUGAUUCAAACGAAAAACAAAGGUUCCGUAACACCGGGAGGUUGAGAUUCGGUGGAAGCCAUAG
Molecule: long non-coding RNA, 332 nt
Filed under: Gossypium raimondii (Peruvian cotton)
Lineage: Eukaryota; Viridiplantae; Streptophyta; Magnoliopsida; Malvales; Malvaceae
Description: long non-coding RNA (GRAI_LNC003140)
Source: RNAcentral